This 445-nucleotide ribosomal RNA is filed under the name uncultured soil bacterium. Its description in RNAcentral is "bacterial SSU rRNA". It matches the Rfam family "Bacterial small subunit ribosomal RNA", at positions 26 to 512 of the family's 1533-position model. The record is from RNAcentral.
AGAACGAACGCUGGCGGCAGGCUUAACACAUGCAAGUCGAACGGUUGUAGCAAUACAGCAGUGGCAGACGGGUGAGUAACACGUGGGAACCUUCCUAGGGGUACGGAACAACUCAGGGAAACUUGAGCUAAUACCGUAUACGUCCGUAAGGAGAAAGAUUCAUCGCCCCUAGACGGGCCCGCGUAGGAUUAGGUAGUUGGUGAGGUAACGGCUCACCAAGCCUACGAUCCUUAGCUGAUCUGAGAGGAUGAUCAGCCACACUGGGACUGAGACACGGCCCAGACUCCUACGGGAGGCAGCAGUGGGGAAUCGUUGGACAAUGGGCGCAAGCCUGAUCCAGCCAUGCCGCGUGAGUGAAGAAGGCCGUUCGGGUGUAAAGCUCUUUACCGAGGGACGAGUAAUGACGUACCUGGAGAAGUAAGCCCGGACAACGUUCGUCGCCAGC